Non-coding RNA from Mycena rebaudengoi, 92 nucleotides. The record is from the annotation of a GenBank genome assembly. Lineage: Eukaryota; Fungi; Basidiomycota; Agaricomycetes; Agaricales; Mycenaceae.
GACCUAGCGGUGAAAUGGUAUCACACCUGCAUGAUGUGGGGAAACUCGAGUAUAUUUUGCAGGAGAUCCCUGUUUGAUUCGGGGCUGGGUCA